This is a long non-coding RNA of Drosophila pseudoobscura, 1102 nucleotides long. RefSeq lists it as uncharacterized. NCBI's taxonomy places the organism in Eukaryota, Metazoa, Arthropoda, Insecta, Diptera, Drosophilidae. The transcript is spliced from 2 exons. The record is from RefSeq and is a predicted model, not a curated record.
AAUCAAUUGCUUGUUGUGGCUAAUCAACAGCAUGCAUCUCACUCACGCUCAACAACACCAAAUCAGCUCUAACCGCCCUCUACCUCACGAUCCACUCCACUCUCCGAUCGCAUUCUCUUUCACUCUCUCAGUAAUGCAAUAGGAAAAUGAUAAGAUGCAGCCAAGUAACUGUAACGCAAGCACGCAGGAAAGAUGAGUCAAUUCAUGCCCAGCCUAUUGGAAAAAAAUAAAUGUGUAAAAAGUACAUAUUUGGAUUUAGUAGUCUUGGAAAAUCAUCAGGAAUUUACAGUUUAUUCAGUUCAUUCGAGAAGUCGGAGCAACACGGAAGCCUUGGCUCGUCUAGACGGUUUUUUGGGAUGUUUCCCAUGGAUAUACAUAUGUAGAUAUCCUCGCUAGACGCGUCUCCCUUCUUGGCUAGAAGAGCCUCUUCUGGAGCUGUCUUCACUGGGUUUGGCUUUUUGUGUGCCUCGUCGUCCGAAGCACUAACCUCACUGCUGGAAAUAUCCUCCGAAGAACGAUCCUCAAUGGAGAUUAAGAUCACUGCUUAAGGCCAUGAAGCUGUGUGGAGCGUAGACGGAAGUAAACAAGGAGGUCGGAUGCCAGUUUUUUCAGUCGGUUCGAAAGGUCGGAGGUAAGUCGAAUUCUAAAUGAAAUCCUAGUAAAAAAAAGCUUCAAAAGAAACAAAUUCUCUUUAGUUUUAAAGAAGCUCAACUGGUGGGACCUGGUCGGCCCAUCAUCGUUGGACUUCCCACAAAGGCAAACAAUCUGCCAAGAAAGUGAAAUUUUUCUCCAUUGAAAUCGGAUCGUUCGUCGGAGAUAAUUUCCAGUAUUGAGACUAGUACUUAAAGGACGAAGCCCGCCAAAAAGUCAGUCCAGAUGGCAGACUCUCAUCUCUCGCAACCCCUCGGGCGAUGAAACCAAAGGUCUCCAGCAAGGACUACGACAAUCGAUAAGGAAGAGCCUAUCAAGAAGCCACAACUCUGAAGACAUCAGAAGAGAGAUACAUAGGUUCCGACCUAAGGAACCAGUGGCUGCUUAAAUCUAGCAUAUGAAUGCCUGGCAGUGAGAGAACUUGAAUGAAAUAAAUGUAGAUUAAUGUAUA